Molecule: long non-coding RNA, 202 nt
Filed under: Capsicum annuum
Lineage: Eukaryota; Viridiplantae; Streptophyta; Magnoliopsida; Solanales; Solanaceae
Description: long non-coding RNA (CANN_LNC021219)
Source: RNAcentral
UAUUUUCCCGGCUGAUGUGGUUAAUUUAUGCUAUAUGUUCUUGUUAUUCUCUCCUUGAAAAUUUGAUUGCACACAUAUAUCUGUUUUCUGAUGAGGACAUAUAUAUAACAUCUGUUCUAUAUACAUUUUCAAAAACAAAUAACAUCCGUUCUCAUCCAGUUUUCCUCCCUUUUCUGUUAGCUUAAUUUUUAUUUUUUUUUUC